AAAGAUUAAGCCAUGCAUGUCUAAGUAUAAGCAAUUAUACAGCGAAACUGCGAAUGGCUCAUUAUAUAAGUUAUCGUUUAUUUGAUAGUACCUUACUACUUGGAUAACCGUGGUAAUUCUGGAGCUAAUACAUGCUAAAAAUCCCGACUUCGGAAGGGAUGUAUUUAUUAGAUUAAAAACCAAUGCCCUCUGGGCUCUCUGGUGAUUCAUGAUAACUUCUCGAAUCGCAUGGCCUUGCGCCGGCGAUGGUUCAUUCAAAUUUCUUCCCUAUCAACUUUCGAUGUUUGGGUAUUGGCCAAACAUGGUCGCAACGGGUAACGGAGGGUUAGGGCUCGACCCCGGAGAAGGAGCCUGAGAAACGGCUACUACAUCCAAGGAAGGCAGCAGGCGCGCAAAUUACCCAAUCCCGACACGGGGAGGUAGUGACAAUAAAUACUGAUACAGGGCUCUUUCGGGUCUUGUAAUUGGAAUGAGUACAAUUUAAAUCCCUUAACGAGGAACAAUUGGAGGGCAAGUCUGGUGCCAGCAGCCGCGGUAAUUCCAGCUCCAAUAGCGUAUAUUAAAGUUGUUGUGGUUAAAAAGCUCGUAGUUGAACCUUGGGCCUGGCUGGCCGGUCCGCCUCACCGCGUGUACUGGUCCGGCCGGGCCUUUCCCUCUGUGGAACCUCAUGCCCUUCACUGGGCGUGACGGGGAAACAGGACUUUUACUGUGAAAAAAUUAGAGUGCUCCAGGCAGGCCUAUGCUCGAAUACAUUAGCAUGGAAUAAUGAAAUAGGACGUGCGGUUCUAUUUUGUUGGUUUCUAGGACCGCCGUAAUGAUUAAUAGGGACAGUCGGGGGCAUCAGUAUUCAAUUGUCAGAGGUGAAAUUCUUGGAUUUAUUGAAGACUAACUACUGCGAAAGCAUUUGCCAAGGAUGUUUUCAUUAAUCAGGAACGAAAGUUAGGGAUCGAGACGAUCAGAUACCGUCGUAGUCUUACAUAAACUAUGCCGACUAGGGAUCGGACAAUGUAACUACUACUGCGAAAGCAUUGCCAGAUGUUUUCAUAUCAGACGAAAGUUAGGGAUCGAAGACGAUCAGAACCGUCGUAGUCUUAACCAUAAACUAUGCCGACUAGGGAUCGGACGAUGUAAAUAAUUGACUCGUUCGGCACCUUACGAGAAAUCAAAGUGUUUGGGCUCCAGGGGGAGUAUGGUCGCAAGGCUGAAACUUAAAGAAAUUGACGGAAGGGCACCACCAGGGGUGGAGCUGCGGCUUAAUUUGACUCAACACGGGGAAACUCACCAGGUCCAGACACAAUGAGGAUUGACAGAUUGAGAGCUCUUUCUUGAUUUUGUGGGUGGUGGUGCAUGGCCGUUCUUAGUUGGUGGAGUGAUUUGUCUGCUUAAUUGCGAUAACGAACGAGACCUUAACCUGCUAAAUAGCCCGUAUUGCUUUGGCAGUACGCUGGCUUCUUAGAGGGACUAUCGGCUCAAGCCGAUGGAAGUUUGAGGCAAUAACAGGUCUGUGAUGCCCUUAGAUGUUCUGGGCCGCACGCGCGCUACACUGACGGAGCCAGCGAGUACUUCCUUGGCCGAAAGGCCCGGGUAAUCUUGUUAAACUCCGUCGUGCUGGGGAUAGAGCAUUGCAAUUAUUGCUCUUCAACGAGGAAUCCCUAGUAAGCGCAAGUCAUCAGCUUGCGUUGAUUACGUCCCUGCCCUUUGUACACACCGCCCCGUCGCUACUACCGAUUGAAUGGCUCAGUGAGGCGUCCGGACUGGCCCAGGGAGGUGGGCAACUACCACCCAGGGCCGGAAAGCUCUCCAAACUCGGUCAUUUAGAGGAAGUAAAAGUCGUAACAAGGUCUCCGUUGGUGAACCAGCGGAGGGAUCAUUAUCGAGUUUAUCAACUCCCAACCCUAUGUGAACCUACCUUUAUGUUGCUUCGGCGGUGUCGCGCCGGGUUGCCCCCAGCGGGCUCCCGGGACCACGCGCCCGCCGGAGACCACAAACUCUUGAUUUUGCGAAAGCAGUAUUCUUCUGAGUGGCCGAAAGGCAAAAAACAAAUGAAUCAAAACUUUCAACAACGGAUCUCUUGGUUCUGGCAUCGAUGAAGAACGCAGCGAAAUGCGAUAAGUAAUGUGAAUUGCAGAAUUCAGUGAACCAUCGAAUCUUUGAACGCACAUUGCGCCCGCCAGCAUUCUGGCGGGCAUGCCUGUUCGAGCGUCAUUUCAACCCUCGAGCUCGUCUUCAUUGACGAGAUCGGUGUUGGGACCCGGCAAAGCGGACCCAGUCCGGCGCCGGCCCCGAAAUUCAGUGGCGGCCCGUUGCGGCGACCUCUGCGUAGUAACUUAACCUCGCAGUGGAAGAGCAGCGCGGCCACGCCGUAAAACCCCCGACUUUUUUAAGGUUGACCUCGAAUCAGGUAGGACUACCCGCUGAAUUUAA
RNAcentral lists this ribosomal RNA (2424 nucleotides) under uncultured Dikarya. Its description in RNAcentral is "eukaryotic LSU rRNA". The stretch from base 1 to 1873 matches the Rfam family "Eukaryotic small subunit ribosomal RNA". Lineage: Eukaryota; Fungi. The record is from RNAcentral.